Molecule: ribosomal RNA, 495 nt
Filed under: uncultured bacterium
Lineage: Bacteria
Description: partial 16S ribosomal RNA
Rfam family: Bacterial small subunit ribosomal RNA
Source: RNAcentral
GACGAACGCUGGCGGCGUGCCUAAUACAUGCAAGUAGAACGCUGAAGGAGGAGCUUGCUUCUCUGGAUGAGUUGCGAACGGGUGAGUAACGCGUAGGUAACCUGCCUGGUAGCGGGGGAUAACUAUUGGAAACGAUAGCUAAUACCGCAUAAGAGUAGAUGUCGCAUGACAUUUGCUUAAAAGGUGCAAUUGCAUCACUACCAGAUGGACCUGCGUUGUAUUAGCUAGUUGGUGAGGUAACGGCUCACCAAGGCAACGAUACAUAGCCGACCUGAGAGGGUGAUCGGCCACACUGGGACUGAGACACGGCCCAGACUCCUACGGGAGGCAGCAGUAGGGAAUCUUCGGCAAUGGACGGAAGUCUGACCGAGCAACGCCGCGUGAGUGAAGAAGGUUUUCGGAUCGUAAAGCUCUGUUGUAAGAGAAGAACGAGUGUGAGAGUGGAAAGUUCACACUGUGACGGUAGCUUACCAGAAAGGGACGGCUAACUACGUG